This is a long non-coding RNA of Acipenser ruthenus (sterlet), 3119 nucleotides long. RefSeq lists it as uncharacterized. The transcript is spliced from 3 exons. NCBI's taxonomy places the organism in Eukaryota, Metazoa, Chordata, Actinopteri, Acipenseriformes, Acipenseridae. The record is from RefSeq and is a predicted model, not a curated record.
UUGUGUUGAUCAGUGGCAAAAACUCCUAAUUAAAUCCAUUUUGAUUCCAAUUUUGAUUCCAUUUUGAUUCCAAUGUGGAAAAGUCCAAGGGGGGUGAGUACUUUUGAGAGAAUGUUCUAGAAUUUAGCGGUGGGCGUUUUUAGCUUUAUGCAUGCAUAGCCUAAGGGCUAAGCAUAUAAUUAACCAUAUCUGUAUUACUGUAUUGAAGUAUUAAUGCUGUUAAACCUGUAAAGGCACCAGAUCGCCUGGACUGCUUAUUACUUGGGAUUUACGGUGGUCUGCGCAACCAACCAAUCCACUUUUUAACAUAAGCAUUUAAUAAACCAAAGGGGCACUACUACUGCUCUGAUUCGUUAAAACUUCAAAUUAAAUGAGAAUGUGUGAUUUUCUUGAAUAUUAAAAAGUUGUGUGGACAUAUAGCCAGCCCAGUGCAUGAACAAAACCACUACAUGAGUUUAAAACAUCUCUGUCCUCCUUGAACGUCUCCCCUGAGUUUAAGAGUGUGCUCAGAGCAUAUAUAUAAAUAAAAAGAGUAUGUGCGAAAAUUCUGACAGGUUGGUCUUCUCAUCAAGACCAUUCGUCUGGGGAUGGUAUGCAGAGCUAAUUCGAUGCCGGAUGCCCCAUUUCUAGAAAAGAGUCUGGUUAACCUGAUAAUGGUAGAAAUAGUUAGAAAUCAAGAAAUGUACAAAACACUGAAAAUAAAUAAUAAUUUAAAAUUGUAAAUAUUAGUAAACAUUAAUUAACUAAUUUAAAAAAUGCAGAAAAUUAUUUUAAAUCAAGUUAAUUUUUUAUGGAAGAAAAUAUGUAUUUUAAAAAAACCUAUAAUUGUACACUUACCAGCUGUUUGACAUAUUCAUCAUAACCAGUUUUACCUAUAGACUUUGAUAUUUUCAUCUUACCUUGUUCCAAAAUUCCCCACCCUGGUCUGUCAAGACAAUCUCCGGUGCUCCGUGGCAGUAGAACAGGGCUGCAAGAGCUGAUGCAGUGCAAGCAGCUGACUUGUCUUUAAUGGGGAUGGCCUCAGUCCACUUCAUGAAGAAAUCAGUAGCCGUCAAGCAGUAGUGGUUUCCUCCCUUCGAUGGCUGGAAUGGUCCAAUGAGAUCAACACCUAAAACCAAUUAAAAUUAUAUCAACAAUUAAGGAGGAUUUGGUCAAUAGCAUAUAUAUAAUAAAGCUCUGUAUCAAUGCAAUACAUUAGCAAGUUCAAUUAUACAAAUAGGAAUGAGACCACAUUUUUUCCUCUAUACACUAUUGUAAAACAGCAGUAUAUGGACCUAACAGUGCCCAAUAAAGACACUUUUACAUGCUGUAUUCUCCAUGUUUUCUUCUGUAGCACUACCUAAAUGUAGUUCUGUCAUCCAGAUAAGUCACAGCAUUUGAAAAUGGCAUUAGAUAACAACUUUAUGGCAAUUUCUUUUUAGAUUAAUUGCCAGGGAUGGGGCACCCUUUUUAAAAAUCUUUUAUUAGGGCAGUCAUUGCUGUCAAUAGGUGUUGCAUAUUUUUGUACUGGAAAUUGUCCUGAUGCACCUAUCUGUCAUGUGACUAUGAUAUUUACUCAAAUUAGUCUGUAAGCUGCAACCUGUUGUCAUAUGAUUGUUUUGCAAGCACAUGCUUACACAAUCUGUUUAACUGGUUUGCAAGAAAGUUUGUUACCAGACUUUUAAUCUUUUAAACCUUUUCAGACUAAGCUCUUCGUUUUCUACAUAUUACAGACUGUGUUUAAAUUCUGUAUGUUCUUCCAUUCUUUGUCUGACCUCACUAUAAAAGUAUAAUGAUGUAAUACUCACCGAUCAUGUAUCAUGGAGAAACAACUUUGAUUGGCUUCAGUUCUGGGGCAACAGUCUUCACCCUCUCAAAUCUUAAGGGAAACAGUAAUGAUGAAACAAGUAAUACUUAAAUCAUGAAUGGAAAAGCAGCAAGAAGCAAAAAAUUAGUUUUUUUAAAAAAAUAAAAAGUACCCAGUGCUCCAUGUCCUUUACAAUCCCUUUCCAGUAAAAAUCGCUGAUUGAUUUUCCCUAUCAUCCUCUUGAUCCCCAUGUGUCCUCCGUGAACUUCAUUGAGAAUGGCAGUCUUCUCCUCUUCAUCGGUCACAACCCUACGGAGACACUCUCCAUUCUUCUCAGGGACAUACAGGCAUAGGAAAAACAAUGGCAAAAAGAGGAGGAAAAGUUAAAUCUCUUUGGAAAUAUUUUGUAUUCGAGGGCGAGGAAAGGAAAAAAGCGAAAUGCCAAAUGUGCAAGAAGAUUCUUGGAUAUAAUCAAACCACCACGCCUUGUGAAACAUCUGAAAAUUUACCACAAGGAAAACAUUGGACAGGAUCCACAGGUACCGACCUUGCAUUUUGUUGUUGGACUCUCUGUUGCCAGAUCUGCACAUAUGUGAAGAGGUGUUUGACAAUCUCCGCAGGUUGGUAAACUGAGGACUGUAACUUUUGAAUUGGUUUUGUCAGCACAUAUUAUACUUUUCCAUGUGUUGCACAGAGGUCGGAACACAUUUAAGGUACAGGAGUCUUAUUUUUCUUGGUUAUAUAUUAAAUUAAAUCAACUUGAUUUUUGGAAUAUUUACAUUUCUGUGGCUUCUCAAAUUUGAAAAGUGUAAUAUUUAAGUGAUACAAAUAUUAAUAUAUUUCUUCUUUCUGUUGUAUCAUUAUUAUAUUAACAUUAUAAGGAAACUAGUUUAGGAAUCAUCAGUCACAGUUAACAUUUAUAGUAAAGAAUAAUGUGUAACUUGUUUUGUUUCAGAUACCUGUCAGCCAUGUCUAAAAGGCAACCAGCUGUAUAGUCAGAAAUGAAUGCCAGCAUAUAAAGUCAUUGUCCCUAAUUCAAAAGGAAACAGUACUGAAUGUGGCAUUUUUGUACUGUACUUUCUCGAAAAAUUCUUGCAGGUUAUGAAAAUGUUAUUCAUCCAUUUUUAUAAAUGUUGGUACAUUUACAUUAUUACACAUACUUAGCAACAAGCAUGGUUGCUUUUUUCAUUAUUAAUGCCAUCUUCGAAACAGAGCAGAAUAAUAUGGUUAUAAUAUAAACAGUACACAGAACUUACUUAAACAGUUAUGGCAACACAUGGGAACAUGAAAUACACACACAAAACACCUUUAGUUAGCACACACAGCGCUGCUA